AACUGGAUGAGCACUGUGGUCUUCUUCAACCCAGGCCAUUCUAUGAUUCUGUGAUUUGUGCAGUACAGUGGAGGGUAGAAGUCUCCAACAAUAGUUCUGCUGGAGGGAGUUCAGGUAGGAAGGAAGGGAGCUGUCUAGAUGUCCUGUGGGGAAGUCAAUGGAUGUGCACGUCUCCUUACCCUUUCUGCUUUCUCUGCCAGGCUAGUCUUUCCAUAGUAUUAUUGCUAUAGCAAAUCCAGCCCUCACUUUUAAAGUGGGAAACAAAGAACACUAGCAGUGCCCUUCAAAAAAUGUGCACAUACCCUUUCCCACCUACCCAAAAAAGAGUGGGGAUGGAGAACAUAAAAGACACAAAUCCCUUAUGUUCUCCAAAGUCUCGUGUACGUUCAGCACACUAAGUUUCUACUGUAAGCCUCUGCUUCCAUUCCAAACCAAGCUAAAAUUAUCCUUCUGAAGUCUUUCCUAGACAAGCUUUUGUUACAUGACUCUUUUGGACAAGCAUCAAUCUGUUUCCCAAAAGCCUGUCUUCCAGGAAUGGCUUAGUGCUGGCUUUGGGGCAGGUGUUCAGAUACUCUGCAGCAGACGCUGCUUUCUGGUGUAGCCCAUCACUGCAGCAUGCUGCAAAAUGGCAGUCUGAGCAUCCCUUAAUGCUGGAAGUUUAACCACAGCUGGAGCUGGUUCUUUGAAUCCUGUCAGUUCUAUUUGCAUCGAGUUGUUUCAGCUGAUGUGGUGCUGCUUAGAAAAACACUGAGGAUCCAUACAGAAGUACUUAUUUCCCUCAUCUUUAAAGGCAGCUUUAGCCUGUACAUUUUUAACAUCUUCAAAAUCCGUUGGUGUUUGUGGCAGUAGCUAUUCACAGUUGCUGUUUUCAUGUUGUCAGUCACCUUUUCCAAACGGCAAACAAAGCAAAGUGUACUCAUGAAGAACUUUGAUUCCAGAGUGGCAACAGGGGUGGGACACAGUGUCCUGAGGAGCCCUCCAGGCCUUGCUCUGCCUUGUCUUUAAGCAAAGAGUAAUUGAUAUCCAAAUGUCUCAGGUUUUGUGAUUCUAUUUUUUAAACUCUGAGCUGGCUUCGUUAGCGUAUCAGAGAUGGCAACUGAAUGCAUUUCUAGGCACGGUUUCUAGAUGCAUUUGAUGUUGGGUUCUUUGUCUUCCCUUUCUAGGUAGUUAGAGAACUCUUCCAGCCCUGCAAAUGAGGCAAACUGUGUGAGUAAUGAGCUACUUUGUCCUGUGUCAGAGUGCCUUCUCUCCAAGUGCUGUUUGCUGUCUGGAUUUCUGACCACUGAACAAGAAGUGUCCAUUGUGCUUCUCAUUUUUCAUUAAUUUUGAAGAGCUCCAUCAGUACAGACCUCCCUCAUGAAAGCCACAGUGAUGUCACGUCCAGCAGCACAGGAGGGAAUCAGAGCGUGCUCCUACCAAGUCAGCACAGCCCCGAGAGAGUUCCCUUUUUGCUGCAGAGCUACGGCUUUGGUCAUGGGCUCAUUUGCACUUUACUCGUCUUCGUGUUUAUGGAGUAUCAGUGGAUUAACAACAAAAAAAGACAAAAGCAGUAAUAUUUGACCUCCAGAGCUGGCGAUGUCUUUUCCCCUUCCUCUUUGUCCUCAUCUUUUCACAGUAAAGAAACAAAGUAAAACAUUUGGUGUUUGCUUCCAGGUGAUCUGUUCUUUUUCACCCUUCUCCUCCUCUCCCUGGGGAUGGAGGCCCCCACCAUCCUUUGAGAUGUCAGGAAUUCUAGGCGAAGAUUUAUGCAGCAGCAUAAAGAGGCAUUAGACCGUGUAGUGAGGGUCAGACAUAUGGUAGCAAUGAUUGCACAGCCCUGUAAAGCAGCCUCCCUGCAAAGCCCUGGAUGCGUUGUGAGAAGUCUUUCCUUGGAAGCAACGUGCUUAAAGAUGCCCUUGUGUCUGAUCUGGUCAGGUACGUGCUGCACACAACAAGGAUGGGAACAAACAAUGCUGUUUUCCUUUCCCAAAGUAAGUUAAAUUCACUUCUGUGUGGAAAUGAGAUUGAAGCCCGUGUUUUCUUUCUUUCUUGACUCCACUCGGUUAGCUGUUGAGAAUAGCAGCUCCUCAGGUCUCUGGUAAUGCAGUCUUCACCUCAAAUAGGGAUUCUAAAAUAUUUAAGCAUUUCUCUCCUGAGGCUUCUUGCUUCCUAUUUGUUUCUUGUUGCUAAGCAAUGCAUUUAUACCCCCAAAAUUAAAAUUUACAGCUCUCAAAUUGUCCCUCAGCCUUAUUCUCCAAACCUCACAUCUGUAAUGGGUUUUCCAUCUGCCAGUUUUCCCAGGCCGCCCCAUCCAUCCUCCAGUCUGCAGAGGAAAAAGCCUUGCGGUGGAGGGUGUUUUUUCCCCUUUUUUAGCCUCCAUCUGUAAUUAAUUUUCUUGCAAAGCCACAUCUGUCUGUAUGGGGCAAGGGAAGUGGGGAAAGCGAGGUAAAAAGUGAAGUCACUCUCUCCCUUUCCCAGUAAAAUGCAGCGUUUGGCAAACGCAAUUGUAGUUCCUCUGGGCAUUUUAGUCUUUCCCUUCCAUUCUCCUGCCCUCACCACCCCUUUCUCCAGCGCAGUCAAACAGAAAGGUGCAGUGGUGUUGGUGCUCAGCUGUGGUUCUGCCGGCGUGGAGCUUGUGGGUUUGGUCUGUGCUGCAGCCCACAUCUGACACUGCAGUGUGUUUCUGCUGCUGGGGUUGCUGCAAAUGCUGCUGGCGUCCUCGGGAAAACUUCCUUCUGUCAAUAUUUGAAUUUUCAAAGCCGUGCUAAAUAGCUGCCGUGAUGUUUCUCUUUUAAAGACUAAGAAAUAGCUACAGUGGUCCCAGUCAAUAUUCCUUCUCUACCAUCGCUCAGUGCAGCCGUUCCAGAAAUUUUAAUGUUCUGCAGACCACCGGGGAGCUUCAAACAAGAGCGGGGCUGGCUGUGAGGCUGGUGGCCUGCCUGCAGCAGGAAGGGAAGGAGAAAGAAGGAGAAAGAACCUGCUGUCUCGGCCCGCCCAGAUUGAACCCAAAGCACAGAGGCUUGGUGAAGAUGCUCUUCUUUGGAGCACAUGAACAUCCUCGCUUUCCCCUUGAGAGUUGUCAGUGGAAGAGAUGUCCUCUUCUGCCUCUGGAAGCAGCUGGCAGAGGUUCCAGAGCCUGGCCUUCCGUUGGGUCACUAUUCUUAUCUCAUUACAUCAUCUGCCACCAUCGCAUUCCAACUCUUCCAGCUUCCUUCAAAUUAAAAAAACAGUCACACAAUUUAGCAGAGGAGGCGGUCAUCCUAUAGAAAAGUCCUUGAAAUGGGCAAUGGCAAGGAAGGCUGGCCACUGAGCAGCCACUCAGCCCAGUCCACAGGCCAGCUUCUGCUUCACUGUAACCUCAUGAGCUGAGAGAUGCUGAGCUGGGGAGUCCAGGUCUCUGCUCUCAGCCUCUGGGCUUGGCUGCUCGUGGGCCUUAGGACAGGUUUGUAAUGGAAAGUAAAAGUACACUGGCUCCUCGUGCAGGAGAAACAUGAAAACUUGAGCUCUGUGGGAAAUCAGACCCUCAGAUACUUUUGGACAUCUGGGUUUCCACCUUGCUGUACUGUCAGAGCUUGAGCUGGAUUCUAGUUGGAACACCACUGUUGUCAGCAGUGCUGACCUGAGUUGCCAGCAUCUCGUCCCUGCUGCCACAACGCUGAUGCAGCUGGUUGGUGAAUUAGAUGGGGUAAUUAAUCUGUGUUAAACGUACUUCCUUUAUUUGCCAGGUUACUUUUAGCCAAGGUCAUUUCCGCAAUGCACUUUACAACGGCCCAGGCAGCUGCACAGUACUGGCAACAACUGGUAUAGGGAUGGGAGGACAAACAGUGACAAGCGUGUGCAGCUCAAGUUAAUUCUGCCAAAGACACACUGCUUGCUGCCCUACCACUUAGCACCAGAGGAAGGAGCUUUGCAUUCCCUGCUGAAAGAUUAUUGCCCCGCAGGACUCCCUCCCACCAAACCACUAGCAAACCUGGAGUCUUGCCCCUUCUCAAGCCCCUGAAACCCUCAAGUCAUCCCCAGAUCAUGACUGUGUCUUUCUGGUCUUCAUAUUUUAAGAAACGUCAUUUUAACACUGGCUGUGGGAGGAGAAAGGGAGCACAGGACAAACAGGCUGCCCUCUGAGGAGCAGGCUCCUGAAACUAAGCUGCUGAGGACAUCAGUCUGAUUCCAGCAUGAAAUGACCCAAAUCUGAAAAAACACUGACACCCUGUGGAGACGUACGGAGGGACAUUAUGCAGAUCUUACUGGCCCUCGUUGGUACCAUAGGGUUAAUUACUGAGUUAUUUCAUGUCCUAUUUUAGAUGGGCCAUUUGUCCGACUUCUUCCAGAUUCAUCGUCUUACAAAGUCAUUAAGAAAAGAAAUGAUCUCUUUUCAAUUAGAAUGGAUUUGUUUUUUUUUAUCUUGUAGCUAAACCCAUAACCAUUCAUUUGUUAAGAAGAAAAUUUCUUGGUACAAGGAGGAAUAUUCUUAAAGAUACAAAGAACAUACCUGAAAUGGGUUGGGUUGCACAAAGGCUGUUCUUCUGCACACCUAGAAUCAUAGAAUCAAAGAGUACCCCAAGUUGGAAGGGACCCACGAGGAUCACUGGGUCCAAUUCCAAGUCGGUUGAUUGUGUGUGUUUCUGACAGUGCUUCUGGGCAGAGGCUGUCUCAAUUAAAAUUAAAAAACAGAUAUGUGCAUUUCCCUUUUUUGCUUGAGUUGAGCACAGGAUCCCCAUCUGGAUCAGAGCUGGAUAGCAAGGAGUGUCCUGGUGCUUUGAGUGCAGCCAUGUGUAAUGAAGCCCUUUAAAGACAGCACCUCAUUUCUCAUAAAAAUGGAUAUUUCACCUCCAGGACUGCAACUAAAUUGCAAACUUUACUAACUUUAAGUCACAUCAGCCCUCCCUUGAGCUCCGUGCUUCCAUCUGGGUGAAGAUGGAUAUUUAAU
Non-coding RNA from Meleagris gallopavo (turkey), 4906 nucleotides. NCBI's taxonomy places the organism in Eukaryota, Metazoa, Chordata, Aves, Galliformes, Phasianidae. The record is from RefSeq and is a predicted model, not a curated record.